UACGAGGGGAGCUAGCGUUGUUCGGAAUUACUGGGCGUAAAGGGCGUGUAGGCGGUACCCUAAGUCAGAUGUGAAAGCCCUGGGCUUAACCUAGGAUGUGCAUUUGAUACUGUGGAACUAGAGAUCGGGAGAGGAAAGUGGAAUUACGAGUGUAGAGGUGAAAUUCGUAGAUAUUCGUAAGAACACCAGUGGCGAAGGCGACUUUCUGGCCCGAUACUGACGCUAAGGCGCGAAAGCGUGGGGAGCAAACAGG
This 253-nucleotide ribosomal RNA is filed under the name uncultured bacterium. Its description in RNAcentral is "partial 16S ribosomal RNA". It matches the Rfam family "Bacterial small subunit ribosomal RNA", at positions 524 to 776 of the family's 1533-position model. The record is from RNAcentral.